AUUGGUAAAAUAGGUAACACAUAACAUUUUUAAUUUCUCUAACACAAUGCAAAUACUUCGUUAAUUGUUUAUGAAAAUUUUAGAAUUGGCAAUAAAACUACGAAAUACAAGUUGGAGUCGGAAGUAAUGAGCAGAAAUUUGAAUUGAGAAUUCUUCACUCUCGAUCAAGACAAUGAUCAAAGGAUUGGAUAUAAUUGUGCUGCAGAAAAAAGUGCCUGGUGGCAUACAUCUUGUAGGAACGUAAAUCUUAACGGAAUAUAUUUUCAAAAUGACGGAGACGCUUCUAUGAGUAUGAGCAGGUGGUAUUGCAAAAGUCUCAAAUCUGUCCAGAUGCUGAUCCGACCAAAAUAAAAUUCCACUCUAUUCAAAAAUCAGCGAAAAUCUGGCAGUAAUAUAAAAUCAGAAAAGCAUAUAACUUAACUUUAAGGCACGGAAAACUCAUAAA
Long non-coding RNA from Drosophila willistoni, 445 nucleotides. RefSeq lists it as uncharacterized. The record is from RefSeq and is a predicted model, not a curated record. The transcript is spliced from 3 exons. Lineage: Eukaryota; Metazoa; Arthropoda; Insecta; Diptera; Drosophilidae.